UCUUCACUCUAUAUAAUGGAAGAAUGCCUGAACCCAUUGCCCAAGCUCAUCACCAUACUAAUCAGCUUCAAGGGUGGAACAAGUGGCAAAGACCAAGGAGCUUAGCAGCAAGGGAGAGAAAGGAGAAAGUUCCCAGCCCAUAAAUAUUGAACCACUGCAAGCUAGAGAAGGUGUAGGAGAGAGUUCUGAGCAAGAGAGCCAACUGGUGGUGUACAGCGAUCAUAGUUCACCUGAUGAGGAGAUGAGGGCACGGCGUGAUGCAAUGAAAUCACCAUCAGAUCAUUCCUGCAAUCCAUCCUACUCCCUGGGGCCUCCAACCCCACCUCCAAGUCCUUGAGAG
This 340-nucleotide long non-coding RNA is filed under the name Eutrema salsugineum. RNAcentral's name for it is "long non-coding RNA (ESAL_LNC000336)". The record is from RNAcentral. Lineage: Eukaryota; Viridiplantae; Streptophyta; Magnoliopsida; Brassicales; Brassicaceae.